GGGACCUGUAGCGCAGGGGUAGUCGCGCCGCCCUGUCAAGGCGGAGGAUGCCGGUUCGAGUCCGGUCGGGUCCCACC
Molecule: transfer RNA, 77 nt
Filed under: Paractinoplanes abujensis
Lineage: Bacteria; Bacillati; Actinomycetota; Actinomycetes; Micromonosporales; Micromonosporaceae
Description: Actinoplanes abujensis tRNA-Asp
Rfam family: tRNA
About the family: Transfer RNA (tRNA) molecules are approximately 80 nucleotides in length. Their secondary structure includes four short double-helical elements and three loops (D, anti-codon, and T loops).
Source: RNAcentral